AGGAGAGGCUGGGAUGCCGGGUCUUUGCGCCAGGCAUGCUCCUUGCAAGGGCUGGCAGUGGACGGGGUGGGCCGUCGGCGGCCCGGCUUCACCAUCUCUCGCUGCACAUCUUCCUCCCAACCCUCCCGAAUCUCCCAGGAAUCGUCACACUAUUCGAGGAUGCUGGGAAGAAGUAGGGGCAGACCUUUCCCUUAGGAGAAAGCCCUGAAUCCCUCCCGUCCGAAUCUAGGGGUCACGGACCCUGGGUCAUCGGCUUUGAUAAAUUAUUUAACAUUCCCCCAAAUUGCUGAAAAAAUGGAUCCUUAGGGAGGAUGUGGCAAGUUUAUCUGGCAGCCGAGACCUGCGAUCACACUGCUGGCCUGUCCUGUUGUUUUUGCAGGAAGCAGACGAAAACUGCUGACUACAAGCAUGUUGACCCCAGACCUAUUGAAACCAGAUGGUCGAUGAUGCUCGAAACUUCACCUUGACGCCAGCGAAUCGGAGACCUGAGCACAGGCUUGUCAGGCUCCUGCAUCCCCUCCCUCACAUGGCCUUUAAAACUCCUCCCCUGAAAGUCCUCGGGGAGCUGGCAUUCUUUCAUACCUUCUCCCUGGUGCACCAGCUCUCCUUCCAAUAAAAA
Long non-coding RNA from Physeter macrocephalus (sperm whale), 619 nucleotides. RefSeq lists it as uncharacterized. The record is from RefSeq and is a predicted model, not a curated record. The transcript has 3 exons. Lineage: Eukaryota; Metazoa; Chordata; Mammalia; Artiodactyla; Physeteridae.